GGGCCAUCCUCCACUGCACUCCCUGGCCACAGCAGAGAGCUGGCCUGGAAGAGGGGCAACCGGGACAGAAUCCGGCGCCCCAACCGGGACUAGAACCCGGUGUGCCAGCGCCGCAAGGCGGAGGAUUAGCCUAGUGAGCUGUGGCGCCGGCCUGUUUUUGUUUUGCGUGUUUUUUCCAAGAUCUCUCGGGUGGUUUUUAGGGACCUGAAAGGGUGAGGAGCUGCUUGAAGUCCUCCCUCUUUUCUCAAGGAGACCCCGCUGUUUGUUCCCAGAUGCGUCACUGAGGAAAUGCAAGCCUCACCUGCCAAGAAGGGACGGAAGGAGAGACCAGAAGGAAGCUGAAAUGAAAACCGGCACAUUUGGGAAUCGAAUCUAAUUGUUCAGACCCAAGAAAAGCAGGAUGGAAGUCAAUGUCAUCUAUGGCCACGCGUUUGCGGCCGGCAGCACCCCCACUUCUGCACUAGUGCUUGCGUCCACGUUGCGCCUCCGGCUUAGGACAGAACCACAGUGUGUCGCACUGAUCUGUGAUCCGUAACUCCUCGUGUUCUGAGUCAUCUCCCCUACGCGAGCUUGCAGGUAAAAGCCAUGCAGGCAGGUGGCUUCUCCCUGGCAGAGGGCGGUGUGGGUGCAUGGUUUGGAGACGGGAGACAGAGACACAAGCGUGUGGCAUCCCUCACGUGCAUCCAGGUCACAUUUUGGUGAGGUCAAGAACCACGAGAAGGGGGCUGGUGCCAUGGUGUAAUGGGCUAAGUCUCCAUCUGCCUCCCAUGUGGGCGCUAGUUCAAGUCCCAGCUGCUCCUCUUCCGAUCCAGCUCCCUGCUAAUGUACCUGGAAAAGCAGGAGAAGAUGGCCCAAGUCCUUGGGCCCCUGCACCCACGUGGGAGACCCGAAGGAAGCUCCUGGCUCCUGGCUUUAGAUCAGCCCAGCUCCGGCUGUUGUGGCUGUUUGGGGAUUGAACCAGUGGAUGAAAGACCUCUCUCUCUCUCUCUCUCUCUCUCUCUCUCUCUCUGUAACUCUACCUCUCAAAUAAACAAAUGAAAUCUUAGAAGCAGCAGAAGGAGGGGAGGACAAGGGGAAGGAGGAGGAGGAGGGGGAGGGAGGAAGGGGAAGAGGAGGACGACCAUGAGAACUGGGGUGGACGAGGGAAGCCACAGCUCCGGCCCAGCUGCAGAACUGCGUCACUGGCCUGGAAGCUUAGCGACAAGGCAAGGAGGAGAGCAGCCUGUGUAAGGGAUCUGGUGGCCCUGGCAGCUGGGAGCCACCACACCUCGGGCCACCCCGUGUCCUGCAAAGCCUUAACAACCCUUUGGAAACUGAAGAAAUAGAUCCCGCAGGGAGUCCCCGUGGUGUCAGGUCCCUGGGCUGUGGUUUCCACGGUCACCCAGGGGCGUGAGCCAGCCAGAGGGAGCAGGAGUCCUUAAAGAGACCCGAGCACUCGGCGCCCAGCGAUCCCUUCUGUGUGCCAGGCUGGGCCCGCGCGGACCUGGGAAAAGCCCGUUUCUUCACCAUGGCGUCCCUGCCGUGGGGAUCCUCUUGUUGGGUCUCUGUUUCCUUGGGCUUCUGUAACAAAGGACCACAGGCCGAGGGGCGCAGGGAGAGGGAAUUUAGGGGCAGGCGUUUGGCCGAGCAGCGUCCCCCAUCCGAGAGCCUGGGUGCAGUGCCCAGCUCUGCUGCUGGCUCCCUGCUGAUGCCCACGCCAGGCGGCAGCAGGUGUUGCUGUAGGUGGUUGGGUCCCAGCUCCUGGCUUCAGCCUGGCCCAGUCUCAGCGGUUGUGAGCCUCUGGGGAGUGAUCCAGGGGUGGGAGCUCUCUGUCUCUCUCUUCCUCUCUGCCUUUCAAACAAAAUGGAAAAAAAAAAAAAAAAACUCUGAGAGUUUUAAAAAUCAUUUCUAGAUUUUAGUACCUAAUACCAUAAAUGCCACAGAUGUGGUUGUUAAACUCUAUGGUAGGGGCCAGUGUUGUGGCACAGCAGGUAAAGUCGCCACCUGUAGUGCCGGCAUCCCAUAUGGGCGCCAGUUCGAGACCCGACUGCUCCACUUCCAAUCCGGCUUUCUGCUAUGACCUGGGAAGGCAGUGGAAGAUGGUCCAAGUGCUUGGGACCCUACAUUCACAUGGGAGACCUGGAUGGAGAGCCUGGCUCCUGACUUUGGCCCAGCUUGGCUGUCAUCGCCAUCCGGGAGUGAAGUAGCAGAUUCAAGAUCUCUCUCUCUCUCUCUCUCUCUCUCUCUCUCUCUCUCUCUCUUCCCUCCACUCCUGUCUCUGUAACUCUGCCUUCUCAUACAUAAAUCUUUCUAAAAAUUAAAAAAAGUGAAGGGCCCAUGUUGUAAAGCCGUGGUGCUCCACGUGGGUGCCAGUUCUCGUCCCGGCUGCUCCACUUCCGAUCCAGCUCCCUGCCAGGGCACCUGGGAAAGUGGCAGCCGAAGGUCCAAGUGCUUUCACGCUGCCGCCCACGUGGGAAGCCCGGAGACCGGGCUGGAGCUCCUGGCUCCUGGCUGCAGCCUGGCCCAGCCCCAGCGGUGACAGGCAUUUGGGGACUGAACCAGCGGAGGGAAGAGCUCUUUCUCCCUCUGAUGCUUUUUCAAAUAAGUAAAUAAAUAAAACAACAGCAGAUGCACACCAGCUUCCAACUCCUUUUUUUAUUUAAAGACUUCAGAUUUUAGAUGUAGAAUAAUUCUUUUCUUAUAUUUUUAAUUUCUCUAAGAUCUUUUAAUUGAAAGUCAGAGUUACAGAGAGACAUAGAAAGAAAAGUCUUCCAUCCACUGGUUCACUCCUCAGGUGGCCGCUAUGGCCAGAACUGUGCCGAGCUGAAGCCAGGAGCUGGAAGCUUCUUCCAGGUCUCCCAUGCAGGUGCAGGGGCCCAAGGACUUGGGCCUCUUCUACUGCUUUCCCAGGCCACAGCAGAGAGCUGGAUCGGAAGUGGAGCAGCCGGGACUUGAACCAGCGCCCAUAUGGGAUGCCAGCACUGCAGGUGGCGGCUUUACUGGCUACACCACAGCACCGGUCCCCAUACUCCUUUUUAUGUAUGUAAGUGUGAUGAUUGGCUUUGCACCCCACUGUGUGAGAUGUGCCCCCUCCAAUCCUGGUAGACGUUGGCAUGUCACCUGUCUGAUGGGAACGUAGGGGGAAAAGGAACCAUCAGCUUCCAAAAUCCAUGCACGUAAUAAAAUGUCUGCCAGUUUGUGGCGAUUUUUCUAAUUCCCUCCCAUUUAGUUUUCAUUGUAAAGGCAGUGGCAGCAAUGAGAAAUAGCGUACACUAUAUUUGCUCAACGCCAGAACAGCAGAACUAGCAACAGAGGGGCCAGAGCUGUGGCGCAGUGGGCUGGGCUCUGCCUGCAAUGCCGGCGCCCACGUGGGCGCUGAUUCAAGUCCCGGCUGCUCAACUCCCUGCCUGUGCACCUGGGAGAGCCGUGCGAGAGGCCCACGUGCUUGGGUCCCUGCCACACCUGUAGGAGACCUGCAUGGAGCACCAGGCUCCUGGCUUCGGCCUGGCCCAGCCCUGGUUUUGCUGGCCAUUUGGGGAGUGAACCCGUGGAUGGAAAAAUCUCUCUAUGUCUCUCCCUCUUUCUCACCUCUGUAACUCUGCCUUUCAAAGAAACAAUAAAUAUUAAAACCUAAAAUUAGCAACAGAGCAGAGGGCAGGAGAUCCAAGUUCUGUUUCUGUUGCUGCGAUUGGUUUA
Non-coding RNA from Oryctolagus cuniculus (rabbit), 3675 nucleotides. The record is from RefSeq and is a predicted model, not a curated record. NCBI's taxonomy places the organism in Eukaryota, Metazoa, Chordata, Mammalia, Lagomorpha, Leporidae.